AACAAGUUAGAGAAAUUGUCUUACACAAUCCAAAAAGGACUGAAUUGUGAAGCAAAUAAGAAGUAGUGCAAUAUUAGACACGACAGCAACACGUUAACGAACAGAUUCUUAAGCUCUCCUUGGAUAUGCCUUGAUUGGCUGACUGUUCGACGCACUUCAUGAAGGAUAGCAAGAUCCUGGUCAGGCCCGAUUCCAAUUGUUACCUGCAGAGAGAAGCACAAGCCAGAAGAGUGAUGGAAUACUCCCCGCUGGCCUGGACAAGCAUAGCUGCAACAACACUCAGUAAGCUUGACGCUAUCCAUGCGAAAACGAUCCGUUUGAUUAGCAUCAUUCACUACCUACAACAUUGACUGAAUAAAGCACUGAUGCAUAAAGCACAUUGGAAGUUCACCAAGGCUGCUGAGACAGCAUCUCCCAAAUCCAUGACCUGUGCCAUCGAGAAGGACAAUGGCAACAAAUACAUGAGGACAUUAUCAGCUACAAGUUCUUCUUUGGCAACUCAUCAUCCAAACUUGGAGACAGAUUGUUGUUUCCUCAUUGUCACGAGGUCAAGAUUCUGGACCUCUCUCCCUACAUCAUUGAGUGCACCUGCAUCAAGAAGACAGUAGUGG
Long non-coding RNA from Stegostoma tigrinum, 611 nucleotides. RefSeq lists it as uncharacterized. NCBI's taxonomy places the organism in Eukaryota, Metazoa, Chordata, Chondrichthyes, Orectolobiformes, Stegostomatidae. The transcript has 3 exons. The record is from RefSeq and is a predicted model, not a curated record.